RNAcentral lists this ribosomal RNA (498 nucleotides) under uncultured bacterium. RNAcentral describes it as "bacterial SSU rRNA". It matches the Rfam family "Bacterial small subunit ribosomal RNA", at positions 141 to 673 of the family's 1533-position model. The record is from RNAcentral.
GGACAACAGUUGGAAACGACUGCUAAUACCGCAUAAGACCGCAUGGUAAAAGAUUUAUCGCUUUAGGAUGGACUCGCGUCCAAUUAGCUAGUUGGGGAGGUAACGGCCCACCAAGGCGACGAUUGGUAGCCGGACUGAGAGGUUGAACGGCCACAUUGGGACUGAGACACGGCCCAGACUCCUACGGGAGGCAGCAGUGGGGGAUAUUGCACAAUGGGGGAAACCCUGAUGCAGCGACGCCGCGUGGAGGAAGAAGGUUUUCGGAUUGUAAACUCCUGUCGUUAGGGACGAUAAUGACGGUACCUAACAAGAAAGCACCGGCUAACUACGUGCCAGCAGCCGCGGUAAAACGUAUGGUGCAAGCGUUGUCCGGAAUUACUGGGUGUAAAGGGAGCGCAGGCGGGAAGACAAGUUGGAAGUGAAAACCAUGGGCUCAACCCAUGAAUUGCUUUCAAAACUGUUUUUCUUGAGUAGUGCAGAGGUAGAUGGAAUUCCCGG